UUCAGACGAUGCGUCAUGCAUAUCAAUAAGCGGAGGAAAAGAAACUAACAAGGAUUCCCUCUAGUAACGGCGAGUGAAGCGGGAAGAGCUCAAAUUUGAAAUCUUAAAGGGUUUCCCUUUACGAAUUGUAGUUUAAAGAAGUGUUUUCUGUUGAGGUUUUGGUAAAAGUUCUUUGGAAUAGGACAUCAUAGAGGGUGAGAAUCCCGUAUUUGACCUUUACUUUCAACUUUGUGAUACACUUUCAAAGAGUCGGAUUGUUUGGGAAUGCAGUCCAAAAUGGGUGGUAAAUUUCAUCUAAAGCUAAAUAUUGGCGAGAGACCGAUAGCGAACAAGUACCGUGAGGGAAAGAUGAAAAGAACUUUGAAAAGAGAGUUAAACAGUACGUGAAAUUGUCAAAAGGGAAGCGUUUGACACCAGUGUUGUUUUUCUGAAAAUCAAUUAAAGAACUGUUUAUGCUAAGUUGUUUAGACUUUAUCAGCUAUCUGUUUAGUUUUGAGCUUUUCUUUAAUGCACUUUUCAGUUAACAAGUCAACAUCAAUUUCUUUUGCUGUAAAAAAGCUUGAGGAAGGUGGCUUGAGAUUCGUCUUAAGUGUUUAUAGCCUCUUGCCUAUGCAGUCGGAGAGAUUGAGGUCUGCAGCGUAGAUCCUUCGGGGCUAAAUGCAUUUGUGCUAAGUUAUAGCAUUUUAUAGACAACUUGUUGACUAUGAUUUGUCUUGUAGCUUACUCGCUUAUGUUAUUUUACCUACGCUUAGGAUGUUGACACACGCGCGUGCUCG
RNAcentral lists this ribosomal RNA (776 nucleotides) under uncultured Neocallimastigales. RNAcentral's name for it is "partial large subunit ribosomal RNA". It matches the Rfam family "Eukaryotic large subunit ribosomal RNA", at positions 18 to 643 of the family's 3401-position model. The record is from RNAcentral. Lineage: Eukaryota; Fungi; Neocallimastigomycota; Neocallimastigomycetes; Neocallimastigales.